GCAACUUAUUGGUACCUUGUGGGAUGAUUUUGCCAUUGAAAUGCAUGCCUACUUUAAUGAUCCAAAUCGAGAGAAGCAUGUCGUCAUGGUGGUUCACUUUGGUGUCGUGAAUCUUUACAGAGAUAAACAAGGUUUGUCAAGCUCAUUCGAUAUCAGUAAGAUGUUCAUCAACUCUGAAUUGGAUGAAAUAACUUCUUUCAAGAAGAACUGAAGAAGGUUAUCUUGGCUAGUACAAUAAUCGCGAUUUGCUCCGAUAAAAUCUGGUACUACAAUGCUUGCAACCGUUGCAAAUCUUGUGCUGAAGAAACGUUUGUUACCGUUGACAAAGAGGAUAGUUCCAGUCGUUUAGAGGACAAGAAGACUGUAAUGUGUACCAACGCUGAUUGUAAUGUAGUGGAUAUUGUCUCAUUCGCUCGGUUUGUUAUUUUUUAAUACCGUAAAUAAAACUGUUGUAUAAAUAUAUUAAUUUAUAACAUUCAAACAUUUAUAU
Helianthus annuus (common sunflower) is the source of this 490-nucleotide long non-coding RNA. RefSeq lists it as uncharacterized. The transcript is spliced from 3 exons. Lineage: Eukaryota; Viridiplantae; Streptophyta; Magnoliopsida; Asterales; Asteraceae. The record is from RefSeq and is a predicted model, not a curated record.